Molecule: long non-coding RNA, 624 nt
Organism: Perca flavescens (yellow perch)
Lineage: Eukaryota; Metazoa; Chordata; Actinopteri; Perciformes; Percidae
Exons: 2
Source: RefSeq, a predicted model, not a curated record
UCCUGCGGGUAAUAUGGAUGGGACGACGUCUGCAUUAUUGAAGACAGAAGUAAAAUAUUGUUAGUGGACACUUCUUUCUUUCCACUGAAGCACCGCUGAGCCAGGAUCUCCCUCCUCUGGUCGGCCAUGGCCACGUACCGCUGCCUCUCCUCCCGUCUCUGGCGGAGAGCAGGGACGCUACUCGGCGGCUGCGGGACGGCGGGGUGUUUGGAAAUGAUGACGCUGCUGCUGCGCUGCGUGCGGGACACCGGCAGUCUCUGACGGAUGUCUGCGGAUACCAGCCGCGAUUCCAGGGGCGGCAGGAGAGACAGUGAGCUCCACAGCUGCCGUGCGUGGGACACGUCCUCCGGAGAAGAGCCGUCAAACACGGUGAAGCAUUUAUCAAAGUCCUCCUGCUCCGGGGCCUCAGACAUUUUACUCUUAGUCCAGAAAACGGUUAACAAGAAGAAGAAAAAUUAAACAGGGUUAACACUUUUUAUAUAUGUCAAUGGUUAACACUAGUUUAGCUAAUAAGCUAGCUAAUAGCAAAUUAAGUGCGCUGUAUGGUCACCAUGGAAACGAGAAAGUUUAUCCUUCCGCGCAUACCUUUCAAAAUAAAAGUAGGUUAUUGACCUUUAGAGUAAA